AAACAGAAAUGUCCAGAGGGCACUUUACUUUGAAGAAAAGAAAGGAUGGUUCCUCGGGCGUGAGGCUCUUCCACUGCACUUCGGUCGAGCUGACCCCCGCAAUUACUCCAAAUGCAACUCGGGCGCAUUAUUUUUGGUAUCUGGGACUGUGUUCGCGCUGUACCGGU
This is a small nuclear RNA of Schistocerca piceifrons (Central American locust), 167 nucleotides long. RefSeq annotates it as U1 spliceosomal RNA. The record is from RefSeq and is a predicted model, not a curated record. Lineage: Eukaryota; Metazoa; Arthropoda; Insecta; Orthoptera; Acrididae. The transcript has a single exon.